GCCCGGGUGGCUCAGUCGGUUGAGAGCAUCUGACUUCGGCUCAGGUCAUGAUCUCACAGUUCGUGGGUUCAAGCCCCGCCUCGGGCU
Molecule: non-coding RNA, 87 nt
Organism: Hyaena hyaena (striped hyena)
Lineage: Eukaryota; Metazoa; Chordata; Mammalia; Carnivora; Hyaenidae
Source: the annotation of a RefSeq genome assembly